UUAAGUUCAGCGGGUAUCCCUACCUGAUCCGAGGUCAACCGUAGAAGGGGGUUGCUGGCAGGCACGCGCCCGGGACCUAUAGCGAGAGUUGUACUACGCUCAGGAGCCGGACGGCACCGCCACUGACUUUGGGGCCCGCCAGCCGGCGAGCCCAAGACCAGCAGGGCUGGAUUGGUUAUUAUGACGCUCGAACAGGCAUG
This 200-nucleotide unclassified non-coding RNA is filed under the name Ascomycota sp. Its description in RNAcentral is "partial internal transcribed spacer 2". The record is from RNAcentral. Lineage: Eukaryota; Fungi; Ascomycota.